Molecule: ribosomal RNA, 274 nt
Filed under: uncultured bacterium
Lineage: Bacteria
Description: partial 16S ribosomal RNA
Rfam family: Bacterial small subunit ribosomal RNA
Source: RNAcentral
AUACGGAGGGCACAAGCGUUGUUCGGAAUUAUUGGGCGUAAAGCGCGUGUAGGCGGCUUGGUAAGUCGGAUGUGAAAGCCCGGGGCUCAACCCCGGAAUUGCAUACGAAACUGCCUCGCUAGAGUCUCGGAGAGGAGGGCGGAAUUCCCGGUGUAGAGGUGAAAGUCGUAGAUAUCGGGAGGAACACCAGUGGCGAAGGCGGCCCUCUGGACGAUGACUGACGCUGAGACGCGAAAGCGUGGGGAGCAAACGGGAUUAGAAACCCCUGUAGUCC